AUUGAACGCUGGCGGCAGGCCUAACACAUGCAAGUCGAGCGGAUGAAGGGAGCUUGCUCCUGGAUUCAGCGGCGGACGGGUGAGUAAUGCCUAGGAAUCUGCCUGGUAGUGGGGGAUAACGUCCGGAAACGGGCGCUAAUACCGCAUACGUCCUGAGGGAGAAAGUGGGGGAUCUUCGGACCUCACGCUAUCAGAUGAGCCUAGGUCGGAUUAGCUAGUUGGUGGGGUAAAGGCCUACCAAGGCGACGAUCCGUAACUGGUCUGAGAGGAUGAUCAGUCACACUGGAACUGAGAAACGGUCCAGACUCCUACGGGGAGCAGCAGUGGGGAAUAUUGGGCGAUGGACGAAAGCCUGAUCCAGCCAUGCGGCGGGUGUGAAGAAGGUCUUCGGAUUGUAAAGCACUUUAAGUUGGGAGGAAGGGCAGUAAGUUAAUACCUUGCUGUUUUGACGUUACCAACAGAAUAAGCACCGGCUAACUUCGUG
This 484-nucleotide ribosomal RNA is filed under the name uncultured bacterium. RNAcentral's name for it is "partial 16S ribosomal RNA". It matches the Rfam family "Bacterial small subunit ribosomal RNA", at positions 30 to 507 of the family's 1533-position model. The record is from RNAcentral.